RNAcentral lists this ribosomal RNA (489 nucleotides) under uncultured bacterium. RNAcentral's name for it is "bacterial SSU rRNA". It matches the Rfam family "Bacterial small subunit ribosomal RNA", at positions 31 to 507 of the family's 1533-position model. The record is from RNAcentral.
GAACGCUGGCGGCAGGCCUAACACAUGCAAGUCGAGCGGUAACAGAAAGAAAGCUUGCUUUCUUUGCUGACGAGCGGCGGACGGGUGAGUAAUGCCUGGGAAUAUGCCUUAGUGUGGGGGAUAACUAUUGGAAACGAUAGCUAAUACCGCAUAACGUCUUCGGACCAAAGAGGGGGACCUUCGGGCCUCUCGCGCUAAGAUUAGCCCAGGUGGGAUUAGCUAGUUGGUGAGGUAAAGGCUCACCAAGGCAACGAUCCCUAGCUGGUCUGAGAGGAUGAUCAGCCACACUGGAACUGAGACACGGUCCAGACUCCUACGGGAGGCAGCAGUGGGGAAUAUUGCACAAUGGGGGAAACCCUGAUGCAGCCAUGCCGCGUGUAUGAAGAAGGCCUUCGGGUUGUAAAGUACUUUCAGUCGUGAGGAAGGCAUUGUAGUUAAUGGCUGCAGUGCUUGACGUUAGCGACAGAAGAAGCACCGGCUAACUCCGUG